RNAcentral lists this long non-coding RNA (379 nucleotides) under Bos taurus (domestic cattle). RNAcentral describes it as "long non-coding RNA NONBTAT017138". Lineage: Eukaryota; Metazoa; Chordata; Mammalia; Artiodactyla; Bovidae. The record is from RNAcentral.
UGGUUAUGGUCCAUCACUGGCUGUUCAUCCAGCUCCAGCCCACACCACCCAGGUCCCUGGGAGGCCUAUUCUCCAGAGCAGGACUGGGGCCAGGCUGGACUCCAGCCGAUUCCCCUACCCUGCUCCAGAGCUCAGUGACUCCCUUGCGCUGAGCCUUCUUGCCAGCAGGUGGCACCCAAAGCCUGAAAGCUGAACUACUCUGUUCCACGUUGUUUUUCUGAGCUGCUUAUUGGGACACAUUACCUGGCUUGGGCUAUGCUUGGGCUUGGAGAAGAUGCUCUGGCCUGUGGACCUGGCUCCUGGCUCCCAUGCUGCUGUCCUUUCCUCCUGAUCUAGUAGCAGUCAUUGCUUGGACUUCCCAUUUGCCUCAUAGUCUGAU